UGAGUCGGCCAGGCGGCCGCGUCGGGCCCCGUCCGCGGGGACCCGCCGAGGAACGUCCGGGCUCCACAGGGCAAGGUGAUGGCUAACGGCCACCCGGGGUGACCCGCGGGACAGUGCCACAGAGAGCAGACCGCCCACCGGUUCGCCGGUGGGUAAGGGUGAAAGGGUGGUGUAAGAGACCACCAGCACGCCGGGCGACCGGCGUGGCUAGGUAAACCCCACCUGGAGCAAGGUCAGACAGUGCGCGUUCGAGGGCGGCCCGCCCGAGUGCACGGGUAGACCGCUGGAGGCGGCCGGCAACGGUCGUCCUAGAUGGAUGGUCGCCACCUUCGCAGUGCCGGCAACGGCGCGGAGGGACAGAACCCGGCGUACCGGCCGACUCAUCCG
This 387-nucleotide RNase P RNA is filed under the name Ornithinimicrobium humiphilum. RNAcentral's name for it is "Bacterial RNase P class A". It matches the Rfam family "Bacterial RNase P class A". From Rfam's summary of the family: Ribonuclease P (RNase P) is a ubiquitous endoribonuclease, found in archaea, bacteria and eukarya as well as chloroplasts and mitochondria. Its best characterised activity is the generation of mature 5'-ends of tRNAs by cleaving the 5'-leader elements of precursor-tRNAs. Lineage: Bacteria; Bacillati; Actinomycetota; Actinomycetes; Micrococcales; Ornithinimicrobiaceae. The record is from Rfam by way of RNAcentral.